RNAcentral lists this ribosomal RNA (465 nucleotides) under uncultured bacterium. Its description in RNAcentral is "partial 16S ribosomal RNA". It matches the Rfam family "Bacterial small subunit ribosomal RNA", at positions 338 to 795 of the family's 1533-position model. The record is from RNAcentral.
CCUACGGGUGGCAGCAGUGGGGAACAUUGCACAAUGGGCGCAAGCCUGAUGCAGCCAUGCCGCGUGUAUGAAGAAGGCCUUCGGGUUGUAAAGUACUUUCAGCGGGGAGGAAGGGCGUAACGUUAAUACCUUUGCUCAUUGACGUUACCCGCAGCAGAAGCACCGGCUAACUCCGUGCCAGCAGCCGCGGUAAUACGGAGGGUGCAAGCGUUAAUCGGAAUUACUGGGAGUAAAGCGCACGCAGGUGGUUUGUGAAGUCAGAUGUGAAAUCCCCGGGCUCAACCCGGGAACUGCAUCUGAUACUGGGAAGCUUGAGUGUCGGAGAGGUGGGUAGAAUUCCAGGUGUAGCGGUGAAAGGCGUAGAGAUCUGGAGGAAUACCGGUUGCGAAGGCGGCCCCCUGGACGAAGACUGACGCUCAGGUGCGAAAGCGUGGGGAGCAAACAGGAUUAGAUACCCGUGUAGUC